Molecule: ribosomal RNA, 253 nt
Filed under: uncultured bacterium
Lineage: Bacteria
Description: partial 16S ribosomal RNA
Rfam family: Bacterial small subunit ribosomal RNA
Source: RNAcentral
UACAGAGGUCCCGAGCGUUGUUCGGAUUCAUUGGGCGUAAAGGGUGCGUAGGCGGCUUUCUAAGUCUGAUGUGAAAUUCCGGGGCUCAACCCCGAAACUGCAUUGGAUACUGGGAGGCUAGAGUCCUGGAGAGGAAACUGGAAUUUACGGUGUAGCAGUGAAAUGCGUAGAUAUCGUAAGGAAGACCAGUGGCGAAGGCGAGUUUCUGGACAGGUACUGACGCUGAGGCACGAAGGCCAGGGGAGCAAACGGG